CUUCACCGAACCCAGCCGCAGCGGGUUCUCGGGCGACCGGCCGGCGCCGUACGUCGCGACGAUCGCCUGCGCCUC
Molecule: antisense RNA, 75 nt
Filed under: Actinoplanes sp. N902-109
Lineage: Bacteria; Bacillati; Actinomycetota; Actinomycetes; Micromonosporales; Micromonosporaceae
Description: ASpks TB sRNA
Rfam family: ASpks TB sRNA
Source: Rfam by way of RNAcentral